RNAcentral lists this ribosomal RNA (928 nucleotides) under Sticta fuliginosa. RNAcentral describes it as "LSU rRNA". It matches the Rfam family "Eukaryotic large subunit ribosomal RNA", at positions 1 to 941 of the family's 3401-position model. The record is from RNAcentral. Lineage: Eukaryota; Fungi; Ascomycota; Lecanoromycetes; Peltigerales; Lobariaceae.
GUUUGACCUCGGAUCAGGUAGGGAUACCCGCUGAACUUAAGCAUAUCAAUAAGCGGAGGAAAAGAAACCAACAGGGAUUGCCUCAGUAACGGCGAGUGAAGCGGCAACAGCUCAAAUUUGAAAUCUGGCCUCGUCGGGGCCCGAGUUGUAAUUUGUAGAGGGUGUUUCGGGCGCGAUGCCGGUCUAAGUUCCUUGGAACAGGACGUCGUAGAGGGUGAGAAUCCCGUAUGCGACCGGCGAUCAAGCCCGUGCGAAGCCCCUUCGACGAGUCGAGUUGUUUGGGAAUGCAGCUCAAAAUGGGUGGUAAAUUUCAUCUAAAGCUAAAUACCGGCCAGAGACCGAUAGCGGACAAGUAGAGUGAUCGAAAGAUGAAAAGCACUUUGGAAAGAGAGUCAAACAGUACGUGAAAUUGUUGAAAGGGAAGCGCUUGCAAUCAGACCGGUCCGGAGGCGAUCAGCCGCUGCUCGUCAGCGGUGCACUCGCCUGCGAUCCGGCCAGCAUCGGUUUGGGCGGCGGGACAAAAGUCCCGGGAAUGUAGCUUCUCUCGGGGAGUCUUAUAGCCCGGGUCGCAAUGCCGCCCGCCCGGACCGAGGACCGCGCUUCGGCUAGGAUGCUGGCGUAAUGGUUGCAAGCGACCCGUCUUGAAACACGGACCAAGGAGUCUAACAUCUAUGCGAGUGUUUGGGUGUCAAACCCGGGCGCGGAAUGAAAGUGAACGGAGGUGGGAACCCGUCAGACGGCGCACCAUCGACCGAUCCAGAUGUCUUCGGAUGGAUUUGAGUAUGAGCAUAGCUGUUGGGACCCGAAAGAUGGUGAACUAUGCCCGGAUAGGGUGAAGCCAGAGGAAACUCUGGUGGAGGCUCGCAGCGGUUCUGACGUGCAAAUCGAUCGUCAAAUCUAGGCAUAGGGGCGAAAGACCAAUCGAACC